RNAcentral lists this unclassified non-coding RNA (348 nucleotides) under soil metagenome. Its description in RNAcentral is "partial contains 5.8S ribosomal RNA, internal transcribed spacer 2, and large subunit ribosomal RNA". The stretch from base 1 to 120 matches the Rfam family "5.8S ribosomal RNA", at positions 35 to 154 of the family's 154-position model. The record is from RNAcentral.
GAUGAAGAACGUAGCGAAAUGCGAUAAGUAAUGUGAAUUGCAGAAUUCAGUGAAUCAUCGAAUCUUUGAACGCACAUUGUGCCCGCCAGUAUUCUGGCGGGCAUGCCUGUCUGAGCGUCAUUUCAACCCUCAUGCCCCUAGGGCGUGGUGUUGGGGAUCGGCCAAAGCCCGCGAGGGACGGCCGGCCCCUAAAUCUAGUGGCGGACCCGUCGUGGCCUCCUCUGCGAAGUAGUGAUAUUCCGCAUCGGAGAGCGAUGAGCCCCUGCCGUUAAACCCCCAACUUUCCAAGGUUGACCUCAGAUCAGGUAGGAAUACCCGCUGAACUUAAGCAUAUCAAUAAGCGGAGGA